AUACGUAGGGAGCGAGCGUUGUCCGGAAUUACUGGGCGUAAAGGGCGCGUAGGCGGCGCUUCAAGUCGUCUGUCAAAUGGGAGGGCUUAACCCUUUUUCGCAGACGAAACUGGAGAGCUUGAGAAGCAGAGAGGCAAACAGAAUUCCUGGUGUAGCGGUGAAAUGCGUAGAUAUCAGGAAGAAUACCAGUGGCGAAGGCGGUUUGCUGGCUGCAUACUGACGCUGAAGCGCGAAAGCCAGGGGAGCGAACGGGAUUAGAUACCCCGGUAGUCCUGGCCGUAAACGAUGAAUGCUAGGUGUGGGUGUCGAGAGGCAUCCGUGCCGGAGUUAACGCGAUAAGCAUUCCGCCUGGUGAGUACGAUCGCAAGAUUGAAACUCAAAGGAAUUGGCGGGG
Molecule: ribosomal RNA, 394 nt
Filed under: uncultured bacterium
Lineage: Bacteria
Description: partial 16S ribosomal RNA
Rfam family: Bacterial small subunit ribosomal RNA
Source: RNAcentral